GUGGCGCGGCGGCAGCGACGCGGCCGCCUUUCCCGGGCGUGCGGGCGAGCGGUUGUCUGAGGCCCCGCGUCUAGGCGCUCCGUCGCGUACGUUCCGCGCGCACUCAGUCCACGGGGGCCACCCGGAGCCAACCCAGGCAGCUGUGCCUUCCCAGGCCCGGCCACCCCGGAGGCCGGGGCCGGGGCCGCGAUGGUUUGGGUCGGGGGCCGGAGGUGGAGCUGACCAAGGGCUGCUGAGAAGAGCCUGGCCGAGUCGGGGCCGAGCACGGAGCCCUUCCCCGCCCGUCGGCCCAGGGCUUCCCGCCCGCCGAUUUCCAGCCGUCAGGGUCACGCUACUCUCUGGGAGCCCUGAACUCCGUGCCCCCCAAGCCCCGGGCCCCCUCCGGGAAUGUUCAAAAAUGAGUACCAGGGUGGUGCAUUUGUUGAAGUCUUUAGUGCUCAGGGAAAAAAUCCUGGAGCAAACUGGAAGAUCCUUGGCAGUCCAUCUGUGAUUUGGAAAGAAUUUGAUAAAGAAGUUAAAAGUUUUGUGUUUGUCCUGGAAGGCAGCAGCCAAACAAAUAAAAUUCAGUUACCAAAGGAGAAUAAGCAAAUCCUUGGACUGAUCCAGAGGUUUCUUGUACUUCAGAUUUACAUACCCCUGGGACGAGACUUCUCCACCGAAUUGCUAAUUACUGAUUUAAGGAACAUAAAAAGAAGAUUGUAUUUAUCAACAGUCCAUAAAGAACUGUCCUCAACCCCUCUUCAUGCAAAAAUCCCACUCUUCAUGAUCAAGCGUAAAAUUUGGUGCAAUCUGUGCAUUGACUUGGUGGCAUUUACCAGUGAAAUAUUCAAAGGAGCAGUUUUCCAGUCACUGGAUGGAAUUAUUGUCUCAGCUAACUGUAAGCUACGGAAGAUCUUCACUUUAAAAUAUAAGCCUCAAGACACUGCUGAUAAAGAUGAUGAACCUACAGACAUUAUUCCACGAAGCUGCCAACUAACGACAGAUGUUCCACAAGUCACACAGCUGUUAAACAUGACUAAACUCCGCCAAACUGAAAUAAAAUCUGCAGGUCAUCCUCUAAGUUCAGCAGAAUCAGAUCAGUUCAUUAAUAGAGGAACAGGUAGCAUGCGGAGCAGUAAAAAUCAAGAUAUUUGUCAUAUUGCCUUUGGAUCCAAAGUUCUUGGACCACCUCCACUCUCUGGCAGAAGAAAUAACAUGAGGAUAUCCAGUGAGACAGUAAGAUCUGUUGGAUCCAAAAAUAACCGAUCGUGCCAGCAGUCUACAGUAGAGAAGUGUGUUAACAGUGCAGAAAUGUCAACCUUGCUAUUAUCUGAGUCUGAGGCACAAGGAGAUAAAGAAAAUAUUGGCCAAAUAAAGCAGACUAUACCUAUUCAUGCCAAUCUGCAUAUUAUGCAUCCACAUCCCCCUCAAGAACCAUCAGCUGAUAAGAAUAACAGGAGAAAAUUACGGUUAAAAAGAACCAGCAGAGAAAGGACAGAGACACCCAGCGGCAAUUCUUCAGGAAAUAACAGGAAUGAACAUAAAGCAACAACUGUCCUCACCACUGUGUCCCAAAAAAGAACAGAGACAUUCAACCCCAGCUCUCCAGCACCCCCGUCUCCUGAUCAAGCAGAUGAGUGGAUAUUUCCUGAAAAUGAUGACUACAUACCGCAUUUGGCCUCCAGCACGCAGUCUCUAAUGCUGGAUGGAGACUCCUGCCACACCUGUCACCUGUGGCUAGAAGCCAGCAAGGAAAGUGAACAUGACCAACAGAUGGAGGAAACCCAGAUUGUUUCAAAGGAUGUUUUCACUUUUUCAUCAAGACCACGAUCAGCACCUCAUGGAAAGACUCAGAAUAUGUCCCCAGAGGAAUGCCCAUUUAUUUUGGAUCUAAAAGAGGAUACCAGUGUGACAAGGAGAGACACCCAGCUGGAGGAUGAUUUUUAUGUUGGUGACAGCAGCGAAGAGGGUAACCACAGUAUCCAGGGUUCUCCAGGCCCAGCAACUAGUCCUCCAGGGUUAACUCAGUUAACAUUAGAGAGCUUGCUGGGGAAGACUGCAAGGUGGACAAGUAAAGGAUAUCUAAAAAAUGCCUACGCAGAAGCAGGAACAUCAGAAAACCAGAAUUCCUUGGUGAAGCAGAUAGAUAAAAAAGACUCUGAAAUGAGUUUGGUGCCUACGUCAUGCUUUUCUCCCCCUGGAAGAAGGAGUGAAUCCUCUCCAAAACUUUCAGAUUCUGUUAUCAAAGCAAAGGAUCUACCAGCCCAUCAAGUGUCAGCUUCAGUAAACAAAACCUCCCUACAGGAAAUUUCAGGGGAGAAGUUGAAACCGAUUCCUGAAGUAUCUGAAUAUGACUGGAGAAACUAUCAGCCCAGCCAGAUGAGUGAAUCUGAGUUGCAAAUGCUGGCAAGCCUACGGCGGCAACAAAAUGAAGAACUAGAGGACAGUGGGGCUCCCCAUGGCCUGAGCGCAUCCCAGGUUGACAACUGUAACGUCAGCAUAAGUACCAGCAGUGACGACACAACCACCUGGAACUCCUGCCUGCCACCCCCUGUCAACCAGGGUCAUCACUAUCAGAAGGAAAUGAAUCCACCUUCUCCUUCUAACCCUCGGGACUGGUUAACUAUGCUGAGCCCACCAAUUGUUCCUCCCAGUCAGCAGCCGGCAGAGCGGCGUCAGGGUUCUUCUGGAAGCUUGAGCGCUCAAGGAGCCUGUGCUAAAGAAGAGAGAGGAGUGUUGUCUUAUUCAUCUCCCCCUGAGGCUGCUCUGGUCCUCUCCUGCUGAGGGAGGUCUUGCCCUCCCAGCCUCCAAGCUCCUAUUACAUGGAUUUUGAGAAGUACUCCGAAGACACUCACUUGCUGGUGAUGGCGUCAAGUACGUAAGUAUUGAGCACAACACUGGGUACAUAUAAGGUGGUCAGGAAACAUCUUAGUAAAGCAUUGUUUUUCAUUCUGUGCCAUUUGUUGAAAACCAACCAAACUGUGCUAAUUACUUAGGCAGUAGGUGUUCUCUUCAUCCAAACCAUCUAAAUAGCUGUCACAAGGGGGAAAAAAAAAAAUCAAGCCAUGUUCAUCGUCCCAGCAAACUUGACAGAUCUUGCUACCACUAAUAAAAUUACAGAUCAUCUGACAUUGUUUUCCAUAUGUGUUCUAUGCUUUGUGUAUCUUAUAUUUCUAAACGUUAUUUUAAUUCAUGUUUAUUUGGUAUUUUUAGGUCAUAUGAAUGGGGAUUGAGCUCUUUAUUAUGUCAUUUAAUUUGCAUUGUUUGACAUUUGUGCAGCUCUGGCCCAUGAAGAAGUCUUGAGCUGUGAUAAUCAAAUUUUGAAUCCUGUUCAAGUAUCCUUAAUCCUAAUUAGCAUAACUCUUUAGUCCUUUGGCCCUCUUCCUUAAUCUUUUCUCCUCCCUGCCAGUCCUCCACACUCAUUUCUCCAGUGCUUUAUAGCAAACCUGGUCCCUGUGAUCACCAUUUCUUCUCUUACACUGCAAGUAUACAGUCAUCACAUCCACAGCGCUCCUCCAUUCCAGCACUGACGUCCUGCCCGCAUAAGGACAGUCUUCCAGGAGAGAUGGUGAAGAAGACCCGAGUGUGGAAGAGGAUGAGGAAGUGCUGACUCUGCUGUAUGACCCAUGUCUGAACUGUUACUUUGAUCCCCAGACUGGGAAAUACUACGAGUUGGUGUAAUGCCUCCUUCCAGGGCAAAGAAUGGCCACCCCAGGCGGAGCAGGAUAGCAGUUCUGACUCUGCUGAGUUGGCAUCACAGUGCGUGUGGUGGGCAGGCUCACGGAAUCAAAAGUAACUAAGAGAAACAAAGUUAGUUUGUACAUAACGUUCACUAUUAAGACUGCCUACCUUCUUUUUGUAGAUGGGUGUGAUUUUUUUGAAACUGUGAUGGAAUUAAUACAGAGACAAGAUUUUAGGACUUUGAAUUGGUUCUUAUUUGUUGGUUCUUAUCCUACAUAUAAUUUUGUUUAUUUCAUAUAAUUUUAUGUAAAUGAAUUGAGUUAUUCUGAUUUUUUGCAGUGUUAAUCUGUAAAUGAUGGCUUGACAUACAGAAAAUGUAUUCUUGUUUAAAAGAUAUUUGGGUACCUUUUAUUUUAUUACCUAUUUGUAUUAAAAAUAAAGUAUGAUGGUCAGAAGAAUACCUUUUAAACUGCUACUUUUUAUUUACUCCACUUUCUUUACCAGAAUAUUCCUAGACGGUAUUUACCUUUCCUUAGAUUCUUAAAAAAGGAAUUACUGUGAAUUAGUCAGAUUUUAUGAUCAUAUUUUAUUGGUACCAGCCCCGCUAUUUCCAUUUCAUUAUAUUUCAUCCAGAGUUUGUCAAAGAUCACAACAUUAUUAAUAACUUAAGCUGCUUAGCUCUGUGUUUUUUUUAAAUUUUUUUACCAAUUAUCUCUGAAUUCUAAUCAUAUGAUCCAAAUCUAGCUCCAUGGAUCCAAAUUUAAUAAGAAGUCACCCAUUUGAACACCCCACAUACCUCACCACUUCUGUGACUUGGACCUGGAGAAAUGGAGGAGGCUUCAUUUGGACUGUGUCACUAUAACUCUGCUCACUGCAUUAUAAGGAAAAAAAAUCACGUGCUUCCUGAGUUCGAGCAGACCAGCCUGGAAUUGUAUGCCAAGUAUAUAAAUAUUGAGCUCAAGGAAGUACUUAUUAUAUUAGCUGGCAUAUUUUGUUACUUAAUAAAGAUUUUUUAAUAAAGAAGAGUACCAUUGGAAAUGAAAAAUUAUUGGUGUACAGUUGGAUUUA
Molecule: RNA transcript, 4728 nt
Organism: Hippopotamus amphibius kiboko
Lineage: Eukaryota; Metazoa; Chordata; Mammalia; Artiodactyla; Hippopotamidae
Gene: CFAP20DC
Gene name: CFAP20 domain containing
Exons: 18
Source: RefSeq, a predicted model, not a curated record